UGAGGAAUAUUGGUCAAUGGACGGAAGUCUGAACCAGCCAUGCCGCGUGCAGGAUGACGGCUCUAUGAGUUGUAAACUGCUUUUAUACGAGGGUAAAGUGGGCUACGUGUAGUCUUUUGAAAGUAUCGUAUGAAUAAGGAUCGGCUAACUCCGUGCCAGCAGCCGCGGUAAUACGGAGGAUUCGAGCGUUAUCCGGAUUUAUUGGGUUUAAAGGGUGCGUAGGCGGUAAUUUAAGUUAGUCGUUAAAUCGGAAGGCUCAACCUUCUCAUGGCGAUUAAUACUGGGUUACUAGAGAUUAGAUGCAGAGGGCGGAAUGUGUAGUGUAGCGGUGAAAUGCUUAGAUAUUACACAGAACACCGAUUGCGAAGGCAGCUCUCUAAUCUACAUCUGACGCUCAGGCACGAAAGCGUGGGGAUCAAACA
Molecule: ribosomal RNA, 422 nt
Filed under: uncultured Rikenellaceae bacterium
Lineage: Bacteria; Pseudomonadati; Bacteroidota; Bacteroidia; Bacteroidales; Rikenellaceae
Description: partial 16S ribosomal RNA
Rfam family: Bacterial small subunit ribosomal RNA
Source: RNAcentral